UACGUAGGUCCCGAGCGUUGUCCGGAUUUAUUGGGCGUAAAGCGAGCGCAGGUGGUUUAUUAAGUCUGGUGUAAAAGGCAGUGGCUCAACCAUUGUAUGCAUUGGAAACUGGUAGACUUGAGUGCAGGAGAGGAGAGUGGAAUUCCAUGUGUAGCGGUGAAAUGCGUAGAUAUAUGGAGGAACACCGGUAGCGAAAGCGGCUCUCUGGCCUGUAACUGACACUGAGGCUCGAAAGCGUGGGGAGCAAGCAGG
This 252-nucleotide ribosomal RNA is filed under the name uncultured bacterium. Its description in RNAcentral is "partial 16S ribosomal RNA". It matches the Rfam family "Bacterial small subunit ribosomal RNA", at positions 524 to 776 of the family's 1533-position model. The record is from RNAcentral.